AUUGAACGCUGGCGGAAUGCUUUACACAUGCAAGUCGAACGGCAGCACGGACUUCGGUCUGGUGGCGAGUGGCGAACGGGUGAGUAAUGUAUCGGAACGUGCCCAGUCGUGGGGGAUAACGUAGUGAAAAUUACGCUAAUACCGCAUACGAUCUAUGGAUGAAAGCGGGGGAUCGCAAGACCUCGCGCGAUUUGAGCGGCCGAUAUCAGAUUAGGUAGUUGGUGGGGUAAAGGCCCACCAAGCCAACGAUCUGUAGCUGGUCUGAGAGGACGACCAGCCACACUGGAACUGAGACACGGUCCAGACUCCUACGAGAGGCAGCAGUGGGGAAUUUUGGACAAUGGGCGAAAGCCUGAUCCAGCCAUUCCGCGUGCAGGAUGAAGGCCCUCGGGUUGUAAACUGCUUUUGUACAGAACGAAAAGGUUUCUACUAAUACUAGGAGCUCAUGACGGUACUGUAAGAAUAAGCACCGGCUAACUACGUGCCAGCAGCCGCAGUAA
This 500-nucleotide ribosomal RNA is filed under the name uncultured bacterium. RNAcentral's name for it is "partial 16S ribosomal RNA". It matches the Rfam family "Bacterial small subunit ribosomal RNA", at positions 30 to 523 of the family's 1533-position model. The record is from RNAcentral.